This is a long non-coding RNA of Monodelphis domestica (gray short-tailed opossum), 679 nucleotides long. RefSeq lists it as uncharacterized. NCBI's taxonomy places the organism in Eukaryota, Metazoa, Chordata, Mammalia, Didelphimorphia, Didelphidae. The record is from RefSeq and is a predicted model, not a curated record.
ACUCCACCUUCUAAAGAGACAAAAGGAUGGUCCUACCCCUGAAGGAGACCGAGAGAUGGGCUGGGGGAAACAACAUGAUUCCUUGUGAAAAAAAGACGGAAGACUGAGAGAAGACUGUGGUAGAGUAGAAAGCACAGUGAACGGGAAAGGCACGUAAGCUUUCUGGGUCUCAGUGUCUACAUCCACAAAAUGGGAAAGGAGGUGGACUUCCGCUCUCUAAAGUCGCUUCUAAUUCGGAAUCUCUAUAAACUUACGUUCUCAAAGAACUAUAAAGCAAGACUCUGACAUCUUUCAGGCAAUCAGGAGUCACAUCGCCUUAUACCUCUAAAGCAUAUAAAGAAGAGCAGAGUGGCAGAGCUGUCUUAUAUGGCACCACAUACCACAAGGUGUGGCAAACAAUAAUCAAUGGAAACUUAUGCUGGGAAGGCUUCAUGGAAAAGAGGGUAUGAAGAUGGACUUUGAAGUAUGGAAAUAAGAUUUCAAUAGGUGAAGGUACUGGAAAUUUUCCUCCAGAGUUAGGAAAAGUAUAAUAUAUAUUUGGAAAGUGGUAUGUAUAAUGGGUAUCCCAUUGCUUGUCUUCUCAAUGAAUGGUGGAGGGGUUGGAGAAGGGGGUAGAAUUGGGAACUCAAAAUUGUAAAAAUGAAUGUUUUUAUAAUUAAAUAAAAUUUUAAAAAGAAAA